RNAcentral lists this unclassified non-coding RNA (537 nucleotides) under Hevea brasiliensis (rubber tree). The record is from RNAcentral. Lineage: Eukaryota; Viridiplantae; Streptophyta; Magnoliopsida; Malpighiales; Euphorbiaceae.
AAAAAAAAAAAAAAAAAAGAAUAUGAAGGUAACUCCCAUGCAUAUAUGCAGCAUUGGCAAUGAAGGAGAAACCAUAUGAAUAAGGAAUAUAGGAGAAGAUUUAUAUUAACACUGCCCAACCAAACUAAGCAAAACCGAGAUCAAAAAGUCCCCAACUUUGACAAGAAGCAGCUAUAAAAAAUAAUAAUCUCAUGAACACAAAACCGAUAAAGGAAUACCCAACUGCUCGUAUUGCUUUCCUUUAACACCUAUAAGAGAAAGAAAGUUGAGUUUUUUCUUUGUCUUCUUUCUUGCUCCAUCAAUAAAGACGUUACCCAAGAACAGGAAGAGAUUUUCUGCAAGAAGCAUUAAAUCACACCCAUAAGUGGGCUCCUUUAAAGUUCAUCAUCAUAAGUAAAAAAUACUCCAUUUUUAGCAAAAGAUGAUUCUCCUAGCGACCCUUUAUCAUGUUGGUUAUAGUAUUUAGAUGGAAAAUGGCUGUGGAAGAAAAUUUGGGGUGAGGUAGAUUUGUUGAAGAUGGUGGUUGCAGGAAGUAUU